AGGUCUAAAGAAGCAGGAUGUGACAUCUCACUCCGGAUCAUGGGGGUUGAUCUGGCUGAUGGCACUGGCUAGGCAGGUGUCCCUUCCUCCAUCACCUUUCUAUAAGCUCUCCCCUGAAGCCAUGUGCUCCAUCUUAAAGGACGACCUUCCCCGAUAGAGGACUAUUAUUUAGUCAAGGGUAUAUGAGUGGUUGCAUUCCCCUGCUAGACCCUCCAAGCAUACUCUUGAGGAAUAAAAAUGCAGGGCGUGUGCGUGUGU
RNAcentral lists this small nuclear RNA (258 nucleotides) under Nannospalax galili (Upper Galilee mountains blind mole rat). Its description in RNAcentral is "7SK RNA (ENSNGAG00000008729.1)". It matches the Rfam family "7SK RNA", at positions 1 to 265 of the family's 331-position model. From Rfam's summary of the family: 7SK was discovered as an abundant small nuclear RNA in the mid-70s but a possible function has only recently been suggested. Two independent studies have found that 7SK RNA binds the CDK9/cyclin T complex (known as elongation factor P-TEFb). Lineage: Eukaryota; Metazoa; Chordata; Mammalia; Rodentia; Spalacidae. The record is from Rfam by way of RNAcentral.